This 440-nucleotide ribosomal RNA is filed under the name uncultured bacterium. Its description in RNAcentral is "partial 16S ribosomal RNA". It matches the Rfam family "Bacterial small subunit ribosomal RNA", at positions 338 to 795 of the family's 1533-position model. The record is from RNAcentral.
CCUACGGGAGGCAGCAGUGGGGGAUAUUGCACAAUGGGGGGAACCCUGAUGCAGCGACGCCGCGUGGGUGAAGAAGCGCCUCGGCGCGUAAAGCCCUGUCAGCAGGGAAGAAAAUGACGGUACCUGAAGAAGAAGCCCCGGCUAACUACGUGCCAGCAGCCGCGGUACUACGUAGGGGGCAAGCGUUAUCCGGAUGUACUGGGUGUAAGGGGGGCGCAGCCGGCGAUGCAGGCCAUGAGUGAAAGCCCGGGUCCCAAGGCCGGGACUGCUCUUGGAACUGUGUGGCUGGAGUGCAGGUGGGGCAGGAGGAAUGCGUGGUGUAGCGGUGAAAUGCGUAGAUAUCAGGAGGAACACCGGUGGCGAAGGCGGCCUGCUGGUCUGCAACUGACGUUGAGGCCCGAAAGCGUGGGGAGCAAACAGGAUUAGAUACCCGGGUAGUC